Molecule: ribosomal RNA, 322 nt
Filed under: uncultured eukaryote
Lineage: Eukaryota
Description: partial 18S ribosomal RNA
Rfam family: Eukaryotic small subunit ribosomal RNA
Source: RNAcentral
CCCUUAGAUGUUCUGGGCCGCACGCGUGCUACACUGAGUGGAUCAGCGGGUCAGGUUGCGCGAAAGUGUUUCCUAAUCUUGAAAUCCGCUCGUGAUGGGGAUUGACGGUUGCAAUUUUCCGUCAUGAACGAGGAAUACCUUGUAAGCGCGGGUCAUCAGCCCGCGCUGAAUACGUCCCUGCCCUUUGUACACACCGCCCGUCGCUCCUACCGAUUGAGUGGUCCGGUGAGGCUUUGGGAUCUGAGCGGAAAGAGCGUUUCGCUGUUUCUGCUCGGAAAACUCAGUCGAACCUUAUCAUUUAGAGGAAGGAGAAGUCGUAACA